ACAACCUUAGGAGCGUCGGUCUACCGAGCAAUAUCACCUGCUCGGUGGAAGAUCUUCCCUUUGUCGU
Molecule: microRNA precursor, 67 nt
Filed under: Bombyx mori (domestic silkworm)
Lineage: Eukaryota; Metazoa; Arthropoda; Insecta; Lepidoptera; Bombycidae
Description: mir-2774 microRNA precursor family
Rfam family: mir-2774 microRNA precursor family
Source: Rfam by way of RNAcentral